UGCUAAUAGUAAGCAGACUGCUGUAAAAUGUGCUGGGACUUUGACUUAAAGGAAGAAAGCACAGCACUGUACUGCCCCUGAUUGGGAAGCUGGAGCACCAAAGAACUCAAGAUCAAAAAUGCUGAAGAUUGGAAACGUCCCAAUAUACUCCUUCUGUCACAUCUACGUUGUUGGACUGUUUUUACCUCCUCACUAAAGAUGGUCAGAGAUGAAGCCAAAUACAAGCAUGAGAGGAAGUUCUAGAGUUGAGAAGCAAAAUUACAUGGCAGAGGAGAAAGAUUCCUUCACCUGUUCUGUCAGAUGAAUCAAUGUGCAGCAGCACUGUCUGGAGGAAUUCCCUUAUGCUUGUAAAUUGCAAACGACUGGAGCUACCCAACACAGUCAUCUGCCUGCUUGAUACCUGAAAUUACUCAUUUGGAUAAUUC
Molecule: long non-coding RNA, 425 nt
Filed under: Cairina moschata (Muscovy duck)
Lineage: Eukaryota; Metazoa; Chordata; Aves; Anseriformes; Anatidae
Description: domestica (muscovy Duck (domestic type)) lncRNA (ENSCMMG00000017159.1)
Source: RNAcentral